AACGAACGCUGGCGGCAUGCCUAACACAUGCAAGUCGAACGAGACCUUCGGGUCUAGUGGCGCACGGGUGCGUAACGCGUGGGAAUCUGCCCUUCGGUUCGGAAUAACAGUGGGAAACUACUGCUAAUACCGGAUAAUGACGUAAGUCCAAAGAUUUAUCGCCGAGGGAUGAGCCCGCGUAGGAUUAGCUAGUUGGUGGGGUAAGGCCUACCAAGGCGACGAUCCUUAGCUGGUCUGAGAGGAUGAUCAGCCACACUGGGAC
RNAcentral lists this ribosomal RNA (262 nucleotides) under uncultured bacterium. Its description in RNAcentral is "partial 16S ribosomal RNA". It matches the Rfam family "Bacterial small subunit ribosomal RNA", at positions 29 to 319 of the family's 1533-position model. The record is from RNAcentral.